Molecule: non-coding RNA, 29 nt
Filed under: Rattus norvegicus (Norway rat)
Lineage: Eukaryota; Metazoa; Chordata; Mammalia; Rodentia; Muridae
Source: RNAcentral
UGCGAUGGAUAUUUUUCAGGAUUUCUGAG